CCUACGGGAGGCAGCAGUGAGGAAUAUUGGUCAAUGGGCUUACGCCUGAACCAGCCAAGUCGCGUGAGGGAAGACUGCCCUAUGGGUUGUAAACCUCUUUUGUCAGGGAGCAACGCCGGCUACGUGUAGCCGGACUGAGAGUACCUGAAGAAAAAGCAUCGGCUAACUCCGUGCCAGCAGCCGCGGUAAUACGGAGGAUGCGAGCGUUAUCCGGAUUUAUUGGGUUUAAAGGGUGCGUAGGCGGAAUGCCAAGUCAGCGGUAAAAUCGCGGGGCUCAACCUCGCUCCGCCGUUGAAACUGGCGUUCUUGAGUGGGCGAGAAGUAUGCGGAAUGCGUGGUGUAGCGGUGAAAUGCAGAGAGAUCACGAAGAAAUCCGAUUGCGAAGGCAGCAUACCGGCGCCCAACUGACGCUGAAGCACGAAAGCGUGGGGAUCGAACAGGAUUAGAUACCCUGGUAGUC
This 460-nucleotide ribosomal RNA is filed under the name uncultured bacterium. RNAcentral describes it as "partial 16S ribosomal RNA". It matches the Rfam family "Bacterial small subunit ribosomal RNA", at positions 338 to 795 of the family's 1533-position model. The record is from RNAcentral.